GGAUGAAGGAUGAAUAAAAGUGGCAAGUACCUAAUAAUUUAAGGCAGUGACAUGUGAAGAAGCAGAGAAAGGAAAGAACUGAACUUGAAGGUCAAAGAAAUGAGAAUAAUUAACGUUAAGACAGUUAAGUGUUGAAAAGCUUUCCACUUGGUGAACAUGUGCCCUAACUGUUCCUAAGUUGUACCUGUCAUGUCUGACAGAGUCUCCAGUUCUCGGGCAGCAGAGGGCCCCAGAGCAAUGGUGUGGAUGACGGCACCACUGCGCUUGACGGCCUCAAAGCAUGAACUUAUUCCAUUAUCUUCCCCAUCUGUCAGCAAUACGAUCUCAGAACCGGAAGUGCUCUGGUCACUGGAGCUGACUUGAUACAUGGGGAUGAGUAAACAUUAGAUGUCUCACUUUUAAACCUCCAGAGAUAGAGAUGUUGGCUACUCAGUAGAGGAUGAACAACUUUCCAAUAAUGAUUUCUGGCAUAUAGUAGCUACUAAAUGAAUAAAAAUUA
RNAcentral lists this long non-coding RNA (499 nucleotides) under Mus pahari (shrew mouse). Its description in RNAcentral is "lncRNA (MGP_PahariEiJ_G0003548.1)". The record is from RNAcentral. Lineage: Eukaryota; Metazoa; Chordata; Mammalia; Rodentia; Muridae.